AAGUCGUAACAAGGUUUCCGUAGGUGAACCUGCGGAAGGAUCAUUACCGAGCGUUGGCCGCGGGCACCCCCCGUGGCCUAUACCUCCCACCCCCUGUGGACAUCUCCCGUUGCUUUGGCGGGCCCGCGCCCGCCAGAGCCCCCAAGACGCGACCGAUUUACGAGCCGUCCGAGUGGUGACAUACAAUCAAGCAAAACUUUCAACAAUGGAUCUCUUGGCUCUG
RNAcentral lists this unclassified non-coding RNA (223 nucleotides) under fungal sp. Its description in RNAcentral is "partial internal transcribed spacer region". The stretch from base 1 to 46 matches the Rfam family "Eukaryotic small subunit ribosomal RNA", at positions 1786 to 1831 of the family's 1831-position model. Lineage: Eukaryota; Fungi. The record is from RNAcentral.